CAGUAGCCGCGGGAAUACGAAGGGUGCAAGCGUUACUCGGAAUCACUGGGCGUAAAGCGUGCGUAGGCGGCUUUUUAAGUCGGAUGUGAAAUCCCUGAGCUUAACUUAGGAAUUGCAUUCGAUACUGGGAAGCUAGAGUAUGGGAGAGGAUGGUAGAAUUCCAGGUGUAGCGGUGAAAUGCGUAGAGAUCUGGAGGAAUACCGAUGGCGAAGGCAGCCAUCUGGCCUAAUACUGACGCUGAGGUACGAAAGCAUGGGGAGCAAACAGGAUUAGAUACCCCCGUAGUCCCUGUCUCUUAUAC
RNAcentral lists this ribosomal RNA (301 nucleotides) under uncultured bacterium. RNAcentral's name for it is "partial 16S ribosomal RNA". It matches the Rfam family "Bacterial small subunit ribosomal RNA", at positions 509 to 807 of the family's 1533-position model. The record is from RNAcentral.